GGGAUCAUGGCUCAGUGGAAGAGCAUCUGAGUUGCAUGCAGAUGGUGCCAGGUUAAAUCCCUGGCAUUGCCA
RNAcentral lists this transfer RNA (72 nucleotides) under Sphaerodactylus townsendi. Its description in RNAcentral is "tRNA-Ala". It matches the Rfam family "tRNA". From Rfam's summary of the family: Transfer RNA (tRNA) molecules are approximately 80 nucleotides in length. Their secondary structure includes four short double-helical elements and three loops (D, anti-codon, and T loops). The record is from RNAcentral. Lineage: Eukaryota; Metazoa; Chordata; Lepidosauria; Squamata; Sphaerodactylidae.